GCUGGCGGCGUGCCUAAUACAUGCAAGUCGAGCGAACAGAUAAGGAGCUUGCUCCUUUGACGUUAGCGGCGGACGGGUGAGUAACACGUGGGUAACCUACCUAUAAGACUGGAAUAACUCCGGGAAACCGGGGCUAAUGCCGGAUAACAUUUAGAACCGCAUGGUUCUAAAGUGAAAGAUGGUUUUGCUAUCACUUAUAGAUGGACCCGCGCCGUAUUAGCUAGUUGGUAAGGUAACGGCUUACCAAGGCAACGAUACGUAGCCGACCUGAGAGGGUGAUCGGCCACACUGGAACUGAGACACGGUCCAGACUCCUACGGGAGGCAGCAGUAGGGAAUCUUCCGCAAUGGGCGAAAGCCUGACGGAGCAACGCCUCGUGAGUGAUGAAGGUUUUCNNAUCNNAAAACUCUGUUAUUUGGGAAGAACAAAUGUGUAAGUAACUGUGCACGUCUG
This 453-nucleotide ribosomal RNA is filed under the name Staphylococcus ureilyticus. Its description in RNAcentral is "bacterial SSU rRNA". It matches the Rfam family "Bacterial small subunit ribosomal RNA", at positions 35 to 475 of the family's 1533-position model. The record is from RNAcentral. Lineage: Bacteria; Bacillati; Bacillota; Bacilli; Caryophanales; Staphylococcaceae.